This 219-nucleotide unclassified non-coding RNA is filed under the name uncultured Actinomycetes bacterium. RNAcentral's name for it is "uncultured actinobacterium contains 16S-23S intergenic spacer region". Lineage: Bacteria; Bacillati; Actinomycetota; Actinomycetes. The record is from RNAcentral.
UCCGGUUUGGCACCGGCAGUCUCCCUAGAGUUCCCGGCAUCACCCGCUGGCAACUAAGGACAGGGGUUGCGCUCGUUGCGCCACUUAAGGCAACACCUCACGGCACGAGCUGACGACAGCCAUGCACCACCUGUGCAGGCUCCGAAGAGCACCCGCUUUCACGGGUUUCACCCUGCAUGUCAAGCCCAGGUAAGGUGGGGAUGACGUAGCUAAGCCUUC